This 97-nucleotide Y RNA is filed under the name Microcebus murinus (gray mouse lemur). Its description in RNAcentral is "Y RNA (ENSMICG00000042161.1)". It matches the Rfam family "Y RNA". From Rfam's summary of the family: Y RNAs are components of the Ro ribonucleoprotein particle (Ro RNP), in association with Ro60 and La proteins. Lineage: Eukaryota; Metazoa; Chordata; Mammalia; Primates; Cheirogaleidae. The record is from RNAcentral.
GACUUGUCCAAUGGUAGUGGUUUAUCAGAACUUAUUAACAUUAGUAUCAUUUAAGUUGGUAUACAACCUACCACUGCUAAAUUUGACUAGCUCUUUA